GACGAACGCUGGCGGCGUGCUUAACACAUGCAAGUCGAACGGAAAGGCCCUGCUUUUGUGGGGUGCUCGAGUGGCGAAAGGGUGAUUAACACGUUAGUAACCUGCCCUUUACUUUGGGAUAACUUUAGGAAACUGGGGCUAAUACCGGAUAGGAGCUCCUGCUGCAUGGUGGGGGUUGGAAAGUUUCGGCGGUUGGGGGUGGACUCGCGGCUUAUCAGCUUGUUGGUGGGGUAGUGGCUUACCAAGGCUUUGACGGGUAGCCGGCCUGAGAGGGUGACCGGCCACAUUGGGACUGAGAUACGGCCCAGACUCCUACGGGAGGCAGCAGUGGGGAAUAUUGCACAAUGGGCGGAAGCCUGAUGCAGCAACGCCGCGUGCGGGAUGACGGCCUUCGGGUUGUAAACCGCUUUCGCCUGUGACGAAGCGUGAGUGACGGUAAUGGGUAAAGAAGCACCGGCUAACUACGUG
Molecule: ribosomal RNA, 468 nt
Filed under: uncultured bacterium
Lineage: Bacteria
Description: partial 16S ribosomal RNA
Rfam family: Bacterial small subunit ribosomal RNA
Source: RNAcentral